ACAGCCCUUCCAGUUCUUAGGUGAUCUCCAGGACCCUCCUUUCAUUCCCAGCACAUCUUUGGUUUAGUGGUCCUGGCCAGCCUCCCUCCCUAGGAAGGUGGCCAGGUCCUCACUGAGUCUCCUUAAGGACAGGGGCACAGGGGAGACUAGAGCUGGCUCAGCUUUGGGCUGAGGCCAGUCUGACCUCUCCAGUCUGUGGUGCUUUGCUACAAAACUGUCUGGAUUGUGUCACCCUAUCUAGGAUAAAUCUUUAUGUCCACAUAUAUUGUGUUGAAUUGUUCCCAUUUUCU
This 290-nucleotide long non-coding RNA is filed under the name Homo sapiens (human). RNAcentral describes it as "non-protein coding lnc-PTPRA-1:1". The record is from RNAcentral. Lineage: Eukaryota; Metazoa; Chordata; Mammalia; Primates; Hominidae.